CUGAACCACAAACCGGUGAAUUCGGUUUUUCUCUCCCGACUCCCGUCUCCUCUCCUCUCGUGUCUCGUCUUGGUCGGUUGGAGGUGCAAUGGCGACGGCGACGGCGACCCUCCGUUCCCAUGUCUCCCCUCGCCCUCUUUCUUUGGUAAAGCUGCGUUUUUGGCCCUUUUUCUCGGUGCCCAGAAGCUCCGAGGGGGAAGAAAGUCGGCUCCGCUCUUCUGGGUUUUGGCUUUUGGUCGAGUCUUGGGGGCUUCGAUGGUGGAUGUGGUUCGACUGUCUUCAUUGCGCUUCUCUUCUUCUCCUUCUUCUUCGUCUCUGACGCCGUCCUCUUCGCGCCAGCGUGGUGCCCUCUGCCCUCCUCCUCAUAAGCUCCACAGGUGGUCCGAUGCUUCUGCGAAUUGCUCCCACGGUGGUGGCGUUGCGGGUCUUGGUUUCAGAACCCGAAAGCGAUUUGCCUCUUUGAAGGACACAAUGGUGUAACCGCUUUAGCAUUGCCAGCACAGUCACAAUAUCCCAAUUUUGGAAAUGCCAUGGAGGUUUCAAAUGAUAAAAGUGCCCAUCUUGCUGCACAACAGCACAUACCUAUAGACCGUUGGAAUGUUCCGAUUUCUCCAGAAGAAAAUGGUAUUGCUACGGUCGAAUUGCUAGUACAGUCCCAUGCCCCGGUGCCUCAGAAUCAAGCUUCCAAUCUAGUAGUACACCUCCUCUAUCUGAAGGCUAUCAAGUGGUGGAAGAUGUACAUCAACCAUUUCAGAUGAUGGUUUGAAGAACUGGCUGGCUGGUGUGUUUAGUCAAAACCCACCAUAUGACGAAGGUUUUGUUAGAGGUACAAAGCAAAGGUGUUAAUGGCUAGCUCAAUAUAAAGGCGAUGAUGCAGUGGGGUUUCUUCAUUAGGAAGAGAAGUGUCAGAAUUGUGCAAUUAGAUGAACCACUGAUUGUAGUUCAAGCUUGAUUUGAAUUUUCUUACUAUCAAUUAGGUAAGAUGAUUCUCUGUUUAUUGUAUGAUGAAAUCGAUGGUACAUUUCCUUAUAUGAGGGCAUAUUAAGUACUUAUCUGUGUUUGACCUCGUCAUCAUUGAUAAAGUUACUUGUUUAUUUAUAGAACAACUUUGUUACCUUAUGAAGUGACUAAUUUUCUUAUCAAA
Long non-coding RNA from Eucalyptus grandis, 1144 nucleotides. RefSeq lists it as uncharacterized. The transcript is spliced from 3 exons. NCBI's taxonomy places the organism in Eukaryota, Viridiplantae, Streptophyta, Magnoliopsida, Myrtales, Myrtaceae. The record is from RefSeq and is a predicted model, not a curated record.